GGCAAUGUGAUUUAAUGGUAGAGUGCUUGCCUAGCAUGCAUGAAGUCCUGGGUUCAAUUCCUCAGUUCCA
Molecule: transfer RNA, 70 nt
Filed under: Dipodomys ordii (Ord's kangaroo rat)
Lineage: Eukaryota; Metazoa; Chordata; Mammalia; Rodentia; Heteromyidae
Rfam family: tRNA
About the family: Transfer RNA (tRNA) molecules are approximately 80 nucleotides in length.
Source: Rfam by way of RNAcentral